UGGGGAAUAUUGGGCAAUGGGGGCAACCCUGACCCAGCGACGCCGCGUGGGUGAAGAAAUCCUUCGGGAUGUAAAGCCCUGUUGUAUGGGAAGAGUAGAAGACGGUACCAUACGAGGAAGCCCCGGCAAACUACGUG
RNAcentral lists this ribosomal RNA (137 nucleotides) under uncultured bacterium. RNAcentral's name for it is "partial 16S rRNA". It matches the Rfam family "Bacterial small subunit ribosomal RNA", at positions 355 to 507 of the family's 1533-position model. The record is from RNAcentral.